Molecule: ribosomal RNA, 253 nt
Filed under: uncultured bacterium
Lineage: Bacteria
Description: partial 16S ribosomal RNA
Rfam family: Bacterial small subunit ribosomal RNA
Source: RNAcentral
UACGGAGGGGGCUAGCGUUGUUCGGAAUUACUGGGCGUAAAGCGCACGUAGGCGGCUUUGUAAGUUAGAGGUGAAAGCCCGGGGCUCAACUCCGGAAUUGCCUUUAAAACUGCAUCGCUAGAAUUGUGGAGAGGUGAGUGGAAUUCCGAGUGUAGAGGUGAAAUUCGUAGAUAUCGUAAGGAAGACCAGUGGCGAAGGCGGGUCUCUGGACAGUUCCUGACGCUGAGGCACGAAGGCCAGGGGAGCAAACGGG